GACGAACGCUGGCGGCGUGCUUAACACAUGCCAGUCGAACGGAAAGGCCCUGCUUUUGCGGGGUGCUCGAGUGGCGAACGGGUGAGUAACACGUGAGUAACCUGCCCUUGACUUUGGGAUAACUUCAGGAAACUGGGGCUAAUACCGGAUAGGAGCUCCUGCUGCAUGGUGGGGGUUGGAAAGUUUCGGCGGUUGGGGAUGGACUCGCGGCUUAUCAGCUUGUUGGUGGGGUAGUGGCUUACUAAGGCUUUGACGGGUAGCCGGCCUGAGAGGGUGACCGGCCACAUUGGGACUGAGAUACGGCCCAGACUCCUACGGGAGGCAGCAGUGGGGAAUAUUGCACAAUGGGCGGAAGCCUGAUGCAGCAACGCCGCGUGCGGGAUGACGGCCUUCGGGUUGUAAACCGCUUUCGCCUGUGACGAAGCGUGAGUGACGGUAAUGGGUAAAGAAGCACCGGCUAACUACGUG
This 468-nucleotide ribosomal RNA is filed under the name uncultured bacterium. RNAcentral describes it as "partial 16S ribosomal RNA". It matches the Rfam family "Bacterial small subunit ribosomal RNA", at positions 28 to 507 of the family's 1533-position model. The record is from RNAcentral.